Molecule: non-coding RNA, 146 nt
Organism: Caenorhabditis elegans
Lineage: Eukaryota; Metazoa; Nematoda; Chromadorea; Rhabditida; Rhabditidae
Source: Ensembl
ACCUGAAAUUGAAGAUCACUGGCACGCUGCCAACUCUGGACAAACUCACUUUCAUUCCAUUAUUAUGUAAUUGAAUAAUUCGAGUUCUUUCUUCCAUCGAUAACGGUCGACCAGGACAAUAAGGUCGACCAUAGAGAUUUGUCCCU